ACGGGAGGCAGCAGUGGGGAAUCUUGCGCAAUGGCCGAAAGGCUGACGCAGCGACGCCGCGUGUGGGAGGACGCCUUUCGGGGUGUAAACCACUGUUGCCCGGGACGAACAGCCCUUUUCGAGGGGUCUGACGGUACCGGGUGAGGAAGCACCGGCUAACUCCGUGCCAGCAGCCGCGGUAAUACGGAGGGUGCGAGCGUUGUCCAGAAUCAUUGGGCGUAAAGGGCGCGUAGGUGGCACGAUCAGCGUGCGGUGAAAGCUCGGGGCUCAACCCCGAGUCGGCCGUGCGAACUGUCGAGCUGGAGCACUGUAGAGGCAGGCGGAAUUCCGGGUGUAGCGGUGGAAUGCGUAGAGAUCCGGAAGAACACCGGUGGCGAAGGCGGCCUGCUGGGCAGUUGCUGACACUGAGGCGCGACAGCGUGGGGAGCAAACAGAAUUAGAUACCCUGGUAGUCCACGCCGUAAACGAUGGGCACUAGGCGCUUGGGGGAGCGACCCCCCGAGGGCCGGCGCUAACGCAUUAAGUGCCCCGCCUGGGGAGU
Molecule: ribosomal RNA, 541 nt
Filed under: uncultured bacterium
Lineage: Bacteria
Description: bacterial SSU rRNA
Rfam family: Bacterial small subunit ribosomal RNA
Source: RNAcentral